RNAcentral lists this long non-coding RNA (220 nucleotides) under Gossypium barbadense (sea-island cotton). RNAcentral describes it as "long non-coding RNA (GBAR_LNC000505)". The record is from RNAcentral. Lineage: Eukaryota; Viridiplantae; Streptophyta; Magnoliopsida; Malvales; Malvaceae.
UGCAACAAGCCUUGCUUUAUAUCUGAGUUCGUCAACUCCUGGAGUCCCUUUUUUCUUUUUAAACACUCAUUUACAAUGAACAACCUUUUUACCUUUAAGAAGUUUCACAAGAUCCCAUGUUCUAUUUUUGUGGAGUGAUUCCAUCUCCUCUUGCAUAGCAAACAUCCACUUUUCUGAGUCUUCACAGCUAAUUGCCUCAGAAUAAUUAGAUGGCUCUCGG